This 1355-nucleotide ribosomal RNA is filed under the name uncultured bacterium. RNAcentral's name for it is "bacterial SSU rRNA". It matches the Rfam family "Bacterial small subunit ribosomal RNA", at positions 28 to 1381 of the family's 1533-position model. The record is from RNAcentral.
GACGAACGCUGGCGGCGUGCCUAAUACAUGCAAGUAGAACGCUGAAGGAGGAGCUUGCUUCUCUGGAUGAGUUGCGAACGGGUGAGUAACGCGUAGGUAACCUGCCUUUAACUCUGGGAUAAGCCUGGGAAACUGGGUCUAAUACCGGAUACGACCAAUCUCCGCAUGGGGUGUUGGUGGAAAGCGUUAUGUAGUGGUUAUAGAUGGGCUCACGGCCUAUCAGCUUGUUGGUGAGGUAACGGCUCACCAAGGCGACGACGGGUAGCCGGCCUGAGAGGGUGACCGGCCACACUGGGACUGAGACACGGCCCAGACUCCUACGGGAGGCAGCAGUGGGGAAUAUUGCACAAUGGGCGCAAGCCUGAUGCAGCGACGCCGCGUGAGGGAUGACGGCCUUCGGGUUGUAAACCUCUGUUAGCAGGGAAGAAGAGAAAUUGACGGUACCUGCAGAGAAAGCGCCGGCUAACUACGUGCCAGCAGCCGCGGUAAUACGUAGGGCGCGAGCGUUGUCCGGAAUUAUUGGGCGUAAAGAGCUUGUAGGCGGUUUGUCGCGUCUGCUGUGAAAGGCCGGGGCUUAACCCCGUGUAUUGCAAUGGGUACCGGCAGACUAGAGUGCAGUAGGGGACACCUCGGAUUCCUGGUGUUGGAGGUGGAAUGCGCAGAUAUCAGGAGGAACACCGAUGGCGAACGUAGGUCUCUGGGCUGUCACUGACGCUGAGAAGCGAAAGCAUGGGGAGCGAACAGGAUUCGAUACCCUGGUACUCCAUGCCGUAAACGUUGGGCCACUAGGUGUGGGGAACAUUCCACGUUUUCCGCGCCGUAUCUAACGCAUUAACUGCCCCGCCUGGGGAGUACGGCCGCAUGGCUAAAACUCAAAAGAAAUUGACGGGGGCCCCGCACAAGCGGCGGAGCAUGCGGAUUAAUUCGAUGCAACGCGAAGACCCUUACCAAGGCUUGACAUAUACUGGACCGCAUCAGAGAUGGUGUUUCCCUUCGGGGCUGGUGUACAGGUGGUGCAUGGUUGUCGUCAGCUCGUGUCGUGAGAUGUUGGGUUAAGUCCCGCAACGAGCGCAACCCUCGUUCUAUGUUGCCAGCACGUAAUGGUGGGGACUCAUAGGAGACUGCCGGGGUCAACUCGGAGGAAGGUGGGGAUGACGUCAAAUCAUCAUGCCCCUUAUGUCUUGGGCUUCACGCAUGCUACAAUGGCCGGUACAGAGGGUUGCGAUACUGUGAGGUGGAGCUAAUCCCUAAAAGCCGGUCUCAGUUCGGAUUGGGGUCUGCAACUCGACCCCAUGAAGUCGGAGUCGCUAGUAAUCGCAGAUCAGCAACGCUGCGGUGAAUACGUUCCCGGGCCU